This 439-nucleotide ribosomal RNA is filed under the name uncultured soil bacterium. RNAcentral's name for it is "bacterial SSU rRNA". It matches the Rfam family "Bacterial small subunit ribosomal RNA", at positions 26 to 456 of the family's 1533-position model. The record is from RNAcentral.
AGAUUGAACGCUGGCGGAAUGCUUUACACAUGCAAGUCGAACGGCAGCACGGGGGCAACCCUGGUGGCGAGUGGCGAACGGGUGAGUAACACAUCGGAACGUGCCCAGUCGUGGGGGAUAACUACGCGAAAGCGUAGCUAAUACCGCAUACGAACUCUGGUUGAAAGCGGGGGACUCGCAAGAGCCUCGCGCGAUUGGAGCGGCCGAUGGCAGAUUAGGUAGUUGGUGGGGGUAAAGGCUCACCAAGCCGACGAUCUGUAGCUGGUCUGAGAGGACGACCAGCCACACGUGGGACUGAGACACGGCCCAGACCUCCGUACGGGAGGCAGCAGGUGGGAAUUUUGGACAAUGGACGCAAGUCUGAUCCAGCCAUCCGCGUGCAGGAUCGGAACGGCCCGUCGGGUUACGUAAACGUCGUCGUUUUAGGUAACCGGAAACG